This 56-nucleotide transfer RNA is filed under the name Podarcis lilfordi (Lilford's wall lizard). Its description in RNAcentral is "tRNA.Undet". It matches the Rfam family "tRNA". From Rfam's summary of the family: Transfer RNA (tRNA) molecules are approximately 80 nucleotides in length. Their secondary structure includes four short double-helical elements and three loops (D, anti-codon, and T loops). Lineage: Eukaryota; Metazoa; Chordata; Lepidosauria; Squamata; Lacertidae. The record is from RNAcentral.
GCUGGAAUAGCUCAGUCGGUAGAGCGUGGUCGUGGGUUCGAGCCCCACGUCGGGCA